Long non-coding RNA from Mobula hypostoma (lesser devil ray), 583 nucleotides. RefSeq lists it as uncharacterized. Lineage: Eukaryota; Metazoa; Chordata; Chondrichthyes; Myliobatiformes; Myliobatidae. The transcript has 3 exons. The record is from RefSeq and is a predicted model, not a curated record.
CACGUCUUAAGUCCCUCAUCCUGUGGCAUAGGAAUUCACCAAAACACAUACCAACUCCUUGUGAUGCAACACACAUCAAAGUUACUGGUGAACGCAGCAGGCCAGGCAGCAUCUAUAGGAAGAGGCGCAGUCGACGUUUCAGGCCGAGACCCUUCGUCAGGACUAACUGAAGGAAGAAUGAACAACUUAGUUUGAUAUGAGCACCGAGAUUCCAAGGAUAUUCUCAGAAUUUCUACUCCUCAGAAUGUCCCAUGAAGGAAAAACUAUGCUUCCCAGAUCUUCACAUGCAUCAGAAAUCUAAAGAGCUUCAUACGCUAAUGCAUUUCACUGCAGCGGAAAUGUUAAUAUUUGAAAUGGUUGCACUACAAAAAUUAUGGGGGUGGAACAAAGGUUAUAAAUAUCAUUGAAUCAAAAUGUUUCCAUUUAUCUGUCAUUAAUACAUUGAAGUAAGUUAUCUGAAUGAACCACAAUUGUAAAACACUACAAAAACACUUCUGAAAAAUAGCCAUCAAGGCAACUAUUAAAAAGUACAUGAAAGUCCUGUGGAAUGGAAUGAUGCCUCGUUGUUUUGCAAAAUAUUACA